RNAcentral lists this unclassified non-coding RNA (200 nucleotides) under Simplicillium sp. Its description in RNAcentral is "partial internal transcribed spacer 2". The record is from RNAcentral. Lineage: Eukaryota; Fungi; Ascomycota; Sordariomycetes; Hypocreales; Cordycipitaceae.
UUAAGUUCAGCGGGUAGUCCUACCUGAUUCGAGGUCAACCUUAAAAAAGUCGGGGGUUUUACGGCGUGGCCGCGCUGCUGUCCCAGUGCGAGGUUAAGUUACUACGCAGAGGUCGCCGCAACGGGCCGCCACUAAAUUUCGGAGCCGGCGCGAGCUAGGCUCGAUCGCCGCGCCCCAACACCGGCUUCUCGUCCGUAAAG